CUUCGCCGAAGUUCCCUUUGCCAGACCAACGACCGUUGGCUCCUCGGUGACCAGCCGCACGAGCUGCCGAGCUUUUCUUUUGGAAGCAAAGGAAAAACAAAAACAAAAACAAAAGAAAAAGAGAAAAGCAAAUUAGGUAGUUUGUUUUUCUUUAUUUUAUUAUUUAUUCAUUUUAAAUUUUGUUAUUAUUGUUUAAGUUAGAAUAUGGUUUGUCAAUAUUAAUAUUUGUGCAUUUUGUAGGCAUUAUACGUAAGGAUUUUGUCCGAACUUAUUGUAAUUAUUAAUUUGAUCCGAGAGACAUCGG
This 304-nucleotide long non-coding RNA is filed under the name Eucalyptus grandis. RNAcentral describes it as "long non-coding RNA (EGRA_LNC000808)". Lineage: Eukaryota; Viridiplantae; Streptophyta; Magnoliopsida; Myrtales; Myrtaceae. The record is from RNAcentral.